CCCUUAGAUGUUCUGGGCAGCACGCGCGCUACAAUGGUCUUCGCAAACGGAUGCAUUCUCGAAGGAGAAUGCCAAUCUUGGAAUCUAUGCCUUGGUCGGGACAGUUGCUUGCAAUUUUUCGACUCGAACCAGGAAUUCCUUGUAAUCGUGAUUCAUCACAUCACGAUGAAUACGUCCCUGCCCUUUGUACACACCGCCCGUCGCUCCUACCGAUUGAAUGGUCCGGUGAAGUGCUCGGAUCGUGGCGACGUGGGUGGUCUGCCGCUGACGACGCUGCGAGAAGUCCAUUGAACCUUAUCAUUUAGAGGAAGGAGAAGUCGUAACA
This 325-nucleotide ribosomal RNA is filed under the name uncultured eukaryote. Its description in RNAcentral is "partial 18S ribosomal RNA". It matches the Rfam family "Eukaryotic small subunit ribosomal RNA", at positions 1470 to 1796 of the family's 1831-position model. The record is from RNAcentral.